RNAcentral lists this ribosomal RNA (445 nucleotides) under uncultured bacterium. Its description in RNAcentral is "bacterial SSU rRNA". It matches the Rfam family "Bacterial small subunit ribosomal RNA", at positions 330 to 792 of the family's 1533-position model. The record is from RNAcentral.
ACCAGACUCCUACGGGAGGCAGCAGUGGGGGAUAUUGCACAAUGGGGGGAACCCUGAUGCAGCGACGCCGCGUGGGUGAAGAAGCGCCUCGGCGCGUAAAGCCCUGUCAGCAGGGAAGAAAAUGACGGUACCUGAAGAAGAAGCCCCGGCUAACUACGUGCCAGCAGCCGCGGUAAUACGUAGGGGGCAAGCGUUAUCCGGAUUUACUGGGUGUAAAGGGGGCGCAGACGGCGAUGCAAGCCAGGAGUGAAAGCCCGGGGCCCAACCCCGGGACUGCUCUUGGAACUGCGUGGCUGGAGUGCAGGAGGGGCAGGCGGAAUUCCUGGUGUAGCGGUGAAAUGCGUAGAUAUCAGGAGGAACACCAGUGGCGAAGGCGGCCUGCUGGACGAUGACUGACGCUGAGGCUCGAAAGCGUGGGGAGCAAACAGGAUUAGAUACCCCCGUA